GAUGAACGCUGGCGGCGUGCCUAAUACAUGCAAGUCGAGCGAAGCGGGGACGGGUGAGUAACACGUGGAUAACCUCCUAUAAGACUGGGAUAACUUCAGGAAACCGUAGCUAAAACGGAUACUUAUAUAUGGAGCUGCGCUGCAUUAGCUAGUUGGUAAGGUAACGGCUUACCAAGGCAACGAUGCAUAGCCGACCGGAGCGGGUUGUCGGCCACACUGGAACUGAGACACGGUCCAAACGCCUACGGGAGGCAGCAGUAGGGAAUCUUGCGCAAUGGGCGAAAGCCUGACGGAGCAACGCCGCGUGAGUGAUGAAGGUCUUCGGAUCGUAAAACUCUGUUAUUAGGGAAGCGGUACCUAAUCAGAAAGCCACGGCUAACUACGUGCCAGCAGCCGCGGUAAUUC
Molecule: ribosomal RNA, 405 nt
Filed under: uncultured bacterium
Lineage: Bacteria
Description: partial 16S ribosomal RNA
Rfam family: Bacterial small subunit ribosomal RNA
Source: RNAcentral